Molecule: long non-coding RNA, 228 nt
Filed under: Pan troglodytes (chimpanzee)
Lineage: Eukaryota; Metazoa; Chordata; Mammalia; Primates; Hominidae
Description: long non-coding RNA NONPTRT016154
Source: RNAcentral
AAAAAUUUAGUUCAUAAGUCUGCAGCUUGGUCAUUUAGGCACGGUUCAGCUAAGCAGUUUCUCUGUUCAGUAUCAGGCUCUGGUGCCCUCAACUAAGCUUUCUCAUGCAUCUGUGGUCAGCUGGUAGGUUGUCUAGAGCUGGCAGGUUUUUGAUGGUCUCAAGUGGGCCAGUUAGAAUAAUGGGAGACCUCCAUAUGAUCCCUCUUUCUACACAAGUCAUGUUCACAU